GUAGGGGGCAAGCGUUGUCCGGAUUUAUUGGGCGUAAAGCGCGUGUAGGCGGCCACGCAGGUCCGCUGUGAAAACUCGAGGCUCAACCUCGAGAUGUCGGUGGAAACCGCGUGGCUAGAGUCCGGAAGAGGAGAGUGGAAUUCCCGGUGUAGCGGUGAAAUGCGCAGAUAUCGGGAAGAACACCCAUGGCGAAGGCAGCUCUCUGGGACGGUACUGACGCUGAGACGCGAAAGCGUGGGGAGCGAACAGGAUUAGAUACCCUGGUAGUCCACGCCGUAAACGAUGGAUGCUAGGUGUGGGCGGUGUCGACUCCGUCCGUGCCGAAGCUAACGCAUUAAGCAUCCCGCCUGGGGAGUACGGCCGCAAGGCUAAA
This 373-nucleotide ribosomal RNA is filed under the name uncultured bacterium. RNAcentral's name for it is "bacterial SSU rRNA". It matches the Rfam family "Bacterial small subunit ribosomal RNA", at positions 527 to 898 of the family's 1533-position model. The record is from RNAcentral.